RNAcentral lists this transfer RNA (71 nucleotides) under Podarcis lilfordi (Lilford's wall lizard). RNAcentral describes it as "tRNA.Ala". It matches the Rfam family "tRNA". Rfam says of the family: Transfer RNA (tRNA) molecules are approximately 80 nucleotides in length. Lineage: Eukaryota; Metazoa; Chordata; Lepidosauria; Squamata; Lacertidae. The record is from RNAcentral.
GGCCAUGGCUCAGGGGCAAAGCAUCUACCUUGCAAGCAGAAGGUCCCUGGUUCAAUCUCCAGGUGGGGCUG